Cavia porcellus (domestic guinea pig) is the source of this 2774-nucleotide long non-coding RNA. RefSeq lists it as uncharacterized. The transcript is spliced from 3 exons. NCBI's taxonomy places the organism in Eukaryota, Metazoa, Chordata, Mammalia, Rodentia, Caviidae. The record is from RefSeq and is a predicted model, not a curated record.
UGAGGACUGUGAUCUUUGCUGUCCAGAUCCAAAGCUCAGAGGUCUUGGCACUCUUGGGUAUGGGGUGGGGGAUAAUGUCAGCGGUCAGCUUUGCUAUUUGGAGGGACUUGGGUGAUGAUGGGGGGCUCGAAGCUCCUCUGGCAGAGCCAACACACAGAUUAGACUGAAGGCAGAGGGGUUGUGCCCUGCGAUGGGUAAGGGCAUGGGUACAGGGGUUUGCCAUUGGCUCUGCACCUCACUGCGUGACCAAGGAAAGUCAGCAGCUCCUCUGAGCCUCAGUUUUCCUCAUCUGUAAAAUGGGAACGAUAACAGCAUGAUGGCAUUCUGUGAGCUAAAGCACACGUCUUUGAAAUAGGAUUGGGGACAUAGUGUAGAGUCCGUUCAUUUUUAUGAUUUGUUGUUUCUUUGCGAUUCAAAGGGGGAGAUGGGGAUUGCAUUCAGGUGCAUGGCUAUAACUGGGCAGUGGAUAGAGGUGCUCUUGGCCCUGCCCAGGAGCCAGUGGUCCUGAGCACUAGGAAGGCAGAGCAGGCGGCCCUGGGAAGCAGAAGGCCCAGGGCUGCCCCCCAGUAUCCCCCACCCAAACCCUCGGGUCUUGCCUUCCCAGGAUGGUGGGGUGACUGCUGGCAUUUUUCCAGGGGCUCCAGGACACCCCUGGGACCUGCUGCACACCUGCUCCUUGAAACUCUUGCCACUGCUUUGACAACAGAUACCUCGGCCCGCAGCCCUGGAGGUGGGGCCCAGGACGGUGACCCAAGCAGCUGACGAGUGGCAGAGCAGAACUGGACUGUCCGACCCAGGUUAUCCCCACCUGGCAUUCUCACUGUAAUUGCUGUGUGGUCCUCCUACCAAUGGGAGUUGUGGGUGUUCCUGCCUGAGAGAUGGGGAGACAGACCCAGCUGGUGAGAACCCAGAUCCAGACUCCACCUGUUAGGGUUCUUGUUUGGGGAGCAGGGUCUGUGUAGUUCUGGGUGGUCUUGAAUGCACUUGUAACCCAGGCAGGUCUCACACUCGUGGUGCCCCUGCUGCCCCGGCCUCCCAAGUACUGGGAUACAGGCACGCACCCCCGGUGGGCUUCCCGUUAGACUCUGAAGCUGCCUCUCAUCUACCUAUCCACAUUUCCCGCUUUUUGGGAUGGUCAGGCGGAAGGUGUCCAUUUAUUCUGCCUGGCCUUUGGGGUGUGCAGACUUCUCCCCAGUCCGCUUCCCGCCAGGAAAGCUGGGGUGGGGCAUACAGACCCGGAAGCCUCCAGUGGCAGGGAAGGGCUCAGUGCCACCUGGCGCUACCUCCCCAGGCCGGCUGACGGCUUGUUCCUUCUUAGCUGUGCUCCAUGCUUGGAGCCAGGCCUGCGCACAGGUCAGGGUUCGCUGGGCCCGGCCUGGGGUGGCACCAACGCUUGGGCGGGCAGGGAUCUGACUUUGUCCCUGUCUCUGACUCUGCAGGUCCUGUAUGACUCCAUGCUGAUGUCUCUUUCUGUUCUUUUGCUAUAAUAAAUCUCAGCCCUGGUGUGGCCAAAGCUGGGUCCUGGGAGUCCUCCCAGCCGAUCUGCAAACCCGGGGGUGGUCAUGGGGACCCCUGAGGCAGCAGUGGCUGUGGUGGGGGUCACCAGAUUGACACUGACUCACUGAAAUAUGGCAAAGCCAUUGUUUGGCCAGUCCUGAAUGUGAGGUUCCCAGCUGCCUGAGGGGAAGCUUCCCGGCUCCUGGCCUCUUCCCACUCCUGGUGGGGAGCAGCCGGCCCUGGCCCGAAGCCUGGCAUUCAGGGAUCCAAGUGGCUCAGACUGGACCCCGUGCUGAAGCUGGGUGCUCUCUGCUGGGAGCUGCUUCUGCUGUGCUACGUGAGUCCCAUCACGGUCGGAGAGCACUCGGACUCCAGGACCUUGGCGGAUCUGAGCUGCACCUGGGUGGGGCUGGGCAUCACCGCUGCUGCUGGACUGCCCGCUAAAUGCCCAGGGCUAAAGGGCUCUCGUGCAGCAAGGACUUCCGUUGGCUUGGAUGCUUGCCACUGUCCGGCGUGUAUGGACAGAGAGACCUCUGGGGGAGGCACAGGUCAUACAGCGAGGUGGAGAAAAUCAUGACUUGCUGGAUUCUAAAACUGUCCACCGUGUCCAGUAGAACAUUUUAAGCCAAGCCAGAAUGCUCAGGUGUUGUGGUAGACGGGGUCUGAGGUUGGCAUCGGACACUGGGAGACUCUCUGCCGCCUCCUGUGAUGUUGGUAGGCGCCAGGCAGAGCCCUCAUGAUGGCACAGAUGAUUCUCUCAUGGUCCUCUCCGCUCAUGGACAAGGCUGUUAGGCAUUGCUCAUCUUCUGCUGGAAGCCUAAAUGUCCGACUGGACAUGGUAGAUCCCACGCCUAUAAUUCACUGUGUAGCCCAGGCUGGCCUCAAACUCGCAGUGAUCCUCCCGCCUCAGCCUCCCUAGCACUGAAAUUGUAGGUGUGUGUCACCAUGCAAGCCUCCAUGACUUUUGAAGGACAUUUGGAUAUAAACCAUAACAACCAUUAAAAAGGGAAGAAGGUUGGGUUCAUAGCUCUGGAAGAGCAUUUGUCUAGCAUGUGUGAGGCCCUGGAUGAGGUUCCCCAGCAUCAGGAAAAACAAAAAAUAAAAAGCUUUUCAUGAAAGUGACAGGAAAAAGUGUUUUUUUACCAUUCGUGUAGAAAAAAAAAAGGCACUGUUUACAGAUGUUUUAAUUUAGUUCUAGCAGUCAAUUCUAAUUCUCCACAGUGCAGAACUCGCCCUGGGGAGCCAGGAGCGUGCACGGCUGUGCAGGGGAGCAGGCA